GUCGAACGCGAACUGCUCCUUCGGGAGCCUAGUAGAGUGGCAAACGGGUGAGUAACGCGUGGGUAACGUACCCUGAUCCUGGGAAUGAGCCCUCGGAAACGAGGGCUAAUACCGAAUGUGGCGAACGACCGGUUGGUCGCUCGCUAAAGGUGGCCUCUUCUAUGCUGCCGGGUUGGGAUCGGCCCGCGUCCCAUUAGCUAGUUGGUGAGGUAACGGCUCACCAAGGCCACGAUGGGUAGCCGGCCUGAGAGGGUGUACGGCCACACUGGCACUGAGACAAGGGCCAGUCCCCUAUGGGAGGCGCAGGCGGGAAUAGUUCACAAUGGGCGAAAGCCUGAUGACGCGACGCCGCGUGAGCGAAGAAGACCUUCGGGUUGUAAAGCUCUGUCAGGAGGGAAGAAGGCUCUACGGGUCAAUAGCCCGUGGGAUUGACGGUACCUCCAGAGGAAGCCCCGGCUAAAUACGUGCCAGCAGCCGCGGUAAUACGUAUGGGGCAAGCGUUGUCCGGAUUUACUGGGCGUAAAGGGCGCGUAGGCGGUUUGUUAAGUCGAAGGUGAAAUCCUCGGGCUCAACUCGAGAAUUGCCUUCGAUACUGGCAAACUAGAGUGGCGGAGAGGAAAGCGGAACUCUUGGUGUAACGGUGGAAUGUGUAGAUAUCAAGAGGAACACCGGUGGCGAAGGCGGCUUUCCUGGACGCACACUGACGCU
RNAcentral lists this ribosomal RNA (708 nucleotides) under uncultured organism. RNAcentral describes it as "bacterial SSU rRNA". It matches the Rfam family "Bacterial small subunit ribosomal RNA", at positions 61 to 747 of the family's 1533-position model. The record is from RNAcentral.